Long non-coding RNA from Mytilus californianus (California mussel), 1328 nucleotides. RefSeq lists it as uncharacterized. The record is from RefSeq and is a predicted model, not a curated record. Lineage: Eukaryota; Metazoa; Mollusca; Bivalvia; Mytilida; Mytilidae. The transcript has 3 exons.
GUACGGUUGAAUAUUCGUUUAUGAUAAAAUAAAACAAAGAAGUCUUUUACUCGGAAUUUUUUUCUGCUCCAUCGUUUUUAUUCAUUUUUAAUGUAAAUGUUCAAAUACUUAAAAAAAACAAUAUGUGGGGAAAACAAUUGCUCAAUUCAUCGUGUAGGAAUUCAAUGCAUUCAUGAUAUUAGUAGUAUUUUAAAAGUGCAGAGCAACAUAUGUUUUGCGUUGUUGGUUUACAUCGUUACCAAUAUAUACGUGCCAUCUUUUAAAUUUCGGUGAACUACCAAUAAAAUUAUACAAAACUAUCAACCAAUCACGUAACCUCUUUUUUUAAUUUUGGUGAACUACCGAUGAAAUUAAUCAAAAUCAUCAACCAAUCACGUACCCUCUUUUAAAUUUUGGUAUACCAACAAUGAAAUUAUUCAACAAUCAAGACUUAAUGGUUUCUUAUCUGAUUCAGUCAAAUGUUGGUAUUUUAAGGGUUUACUUUGUGGAAGUAUUUAUAAAAAUUGCUAUCAUCUGUGGAACUUCAAAAUGCAAUACGCUGUUGACGUGUUUAUUUUAAGUAUUAAUUCACAUUUAUUGAUUUUUGUUAAUCAAUAAAAUAUAUACCAAUGUAUUUCAGUAUAAAGAUUUUGCUUUUUCAUUUCAUUCCCUUUAUACAGAAAAUACAACUACGGAGGAACCAUUAACCACUGAUCAUACAUAUUCUAAGGAGAUAACAAUAACACCGACCACGACCGAAAACCAUUUCUCAUCGAUACGGGCAUCCGCACUUUUUACAACGACGACGACACAAAAGACGACUCCGUCUGCUACUCCAUCACCCACACCCUGCAUUGGUGGGGGAUUAAACAGAACUGAUGCCAGACUUCACGAAGAAUGCGGUGCACACAGUGAAGAAGCUAAAUGUAUUGUUUCAAACAGUGCAUGUACUGAAACAUCUAUAGCUAGCACUUGGAGAUGCCGAUGUGUCCAGGGAUAUGCAAAGAAGAAUGAUUCAUGUCUGCAAUUGCCUACUAAAUUAUUCCGCCAAGAGUUUGAAAAAGUGCUCAUAAAUCUUCCUGAAAGCAGUCCAAUAGGCCAUCAAGUUUUAAUAGCAUACUUUACAGAGGUUGAUGGUUUUCAUAAAAUUACACCAACAGCUGAAAUUAUGGGACCCGGUUCAGACAGUUUUUCACCAAGCACUGCUAAUACAGCGAAUGUCGGCAUAACAGUGAGCAGCUCAACACUUUCUAAAUCAAAAUACGACAUUUUUGUAGUAGUGUCUGUUACUGUUGACGGUAUUGUGAUACGUGAUUUUAUACAUGUCGCCAUUACCAUUACUAGAAACA